GUCGCACGAGUUCAGACUCGUGGCGAAUAGCUCAGUAACACGUGGCCAAACUACCCUUCGGAACACAAUACCCUCGGGAAACUGAGGCUAAUAGUGUAUACCAUACCACCACUGGAAUGAGUGGUAUGCCAAAUGCUCCGGCGCCGAAGGAUGUGGCUGCGGCCGAUUAGGUAGACGGUGGGGUAACGGCCCACCGUGCCAAUAAUCGGUACGGGUCAUGAGAGUGAGAACCCGGAGACGGAAUCUGAGACAAGAUUCCGGGCCCUACGGGGCGCAGCAGGCGCGAAACCUUUACACUGCACGACAGUGCGAUAGGGGGAUCCCAAGUGCACAGGCAUAGCGCCUGUGCUUUUCGGUACCGUAAGGUGGUACCAGAAUAAGGGCUGGGCAAGACCGGUGCCAGCCGCCGCGGUAAUACCGGCAGCCCAAGUGAUGGCCGAUCUUAUUGGGCCUAAAGCGUCCGUAGCUGGCCGCGCAAGUCCAUCGGGAAAUCCACCUGCUCAACAGGUGGGCGCCCGGUAGAAACUGCGUGGCUUGGGACCGGAAGGCGCGACGGGUACGUCCGGGGUAGGAGUGAAAUCCCGUAAUCCUGGACGGACCGCCGAUGGCGAAAGCACGUCGCGAGAACGGAUCCGACAGUGAGGGACGAAAGCCAGGGUCUCGAACCGGAUUAGAUACCCGGGUAGUCCUGGCCGUAAACAAUGUCUGCUAGGUGUGGCUCCCACUACGAGUGGGUGCUGUGCCGUAGGGAAGCCG
Molecule: ribosomal RNA, 756 nt
Filed under: Halorubrum sp. S57
Lineage: Archaea; Methanobacteriati; Methanobacteriota; Halobacteria; Halobacteriales; Haloferacaceae
Description: bacterial SSU rRNA
Rfam family: Archaeal small subunit ribosomal RNA
Source: RNAcentral